This 445-nucleotide ribosomal RNA is filed under the name uncultured bacterium. RNAcentral's name for it is "bacterial SSU rRNA". It matches the Rfam family "Bacterial small subunit ribosomal RNA", at positions 331 to 792 of the family's 1533-position model. The record is from RNAcentral.
CCAGACUCCUACGGGAGGCAGCAGUGGGGGAUAUUGCACAAUGGGGGGAACCCUGAUGCAGCGACGCCGCGUGAGUGAAGAAGCGUGUCGGCGCGUAAAGCUCUGUCAGCGGGGAAGAAAGAAGACGGUGCCCGACCAAGAAGCCCCGGCUAACUACGUGCCAGCAGCCGCGGUAAUACGUAGGGGGCGAGCGUUAUCCGGAAUUACUGGGUGUAAAGGGAGCGUAGACGGCGAAGUAAGCCUGAAGUGGAAGCCCGCGGCCCAACCGCGGAACUGCUUUGGGAACUGUUUAGCUGGAGUAUGGGAGGGGUAAGCGGAAUUCCUGGUGUAGCGGUGAAAUGCGUAGAUAUCAGGAGGAACACCGGUGGCGAAGGCGGCUUACUGGACCAUGACUGACGUUGAGGCUCGAAAGCGUGGGGAGCGAACAGGAUUAGAUACCCUGGUA